Dorea longicatena CAG:42 is the source of this 125-nucleotide non-coding RNA. The record is from Rfam. Lineage: Bacteria; Bacillati; Bacillota; Clostridia; Lachnospirales; Lachnospiraceae.
GCAGUACAAACUGAUCAGGCUACAUUCAUUUUCAAAAAGAUGAUGUUAAGAAAAUGAUGUGCAUGCCGGGCCGGUCGAUUACCGGCAGCAGAUGAGACGAUAUAUCAUACAUCUGUGGGACAGUA